UGUCGUCAGCUCGUGUCGUGAGAUGUUGGGUUAAGUCCGUAACGAGCGCAACCCUUGUCCUUAGUUACCAGCACGUUAUGGUGGGCACUCUAAGGAGACUGCCGGUGACAAACCGGAGGAAAGGUGGGGAUGACGUCAAGUCAUCAUGGCCCUUACGGCCUGGGCUACACACGUGCUACAAUGGUCGGUACAAAGGGUUGCCAAGCCGCGAGGUGGAGCUAAUCCCAUAAAACCGAUCGUAGUCCGGAUCGCAGUCUACAACUCGACUGCGUGAAGUCGGAAUCGCUAGUAAUCGUGAAUCAGAAUGUCACGGUGAAUACGUUCCCGGGCCUU
This 333-nucleotide ribosomal RNA is filed under the name uncultured Pseudomonas sp. RNAcentral's name for it is "bacterial SSU rRNA". It matches the Rfam family "Bacterial small subunit ribosomal RNA", at positions 1050 to 1382 of the family's 1533-position model. Lineage: Bacteria; Pseudomonadati; Pseudomonadota; Gammaproteobacteria; Pseudomonadales; Pseudomonadaceae. The record is from RNAcentral.